UAGAGUUUGAUCCUGGCUCAGGACGAACGCUGGCGGCGUGCCUAAUACAUGCAAGUUGAGCGCUGAAGGUUGGUACUUGUACCAACUGGAUGAGCAGCGAACGGGUGAGUAACGCGUGGGGAAUCUGCCUUUGAGCGGGGGACAACAUUUGGAAACGAAUGCUAAUACCGCAUAAAAACUUUAAACACAAGUUUUAAGUUUGAAAGAUGCAAUUGCAUCACUCAAAGAUGAUCCCGCGUUGUAUUAGCUAGUUGGUGAGGUAAAGGCUCACCAAGGCGAUGAUACAUAGCCGACCUGAGAGGGUGAUCGGCCACAUUGGGACUGAGACACGGCCCAAACUCCUACGGGAGGCAGCAGUAGGGAAUCUUCGGCAAUGGACGAAAGUCUGACCGAGCAACGCCGCGUGAGUGAAGAAGGUUUUCGGAUCGUAAAACUCUGUUGGUAGAGAAGAACGUUGGUGAGAGUGGAAAGCUCAUCAAGUGACGGUAACUACCCAGAAAGGGACGGCUAACUACGUGCCAGCAGCCGCGGUAAUACGUAGGUCCCGAGCGUUGUCCGGAUUUAUUGGGCGUAAAGCGAGCGCAGGUGGUUUAUUAAGUCUGGUGUAAAAGGCAGUGGCUCAACCAUUGUAUGCAUUGGAAACUGGUAGACUUGAGUGCAGGAGAGGAGAGUGGAAUUCCAUGUGUAGCGGUGAAAUGCGUAGAUAUAUGGAGGAACACCGGUGGCGAAAGCGGCUCUCUGGCCUGUAACUGACACUGAGGCUCGAAAGCGUGGGGAGCAAACAGGAUUAGAUACCCUGGUAGUCCACGCCGUAAACGAUGAGUGCUAGAUGUAGGGAGCUAUAAGUUCUCUGUAUCGCAGCUAACGCAAUAAGCACUCCGCCUGGGGAGUACGACCGCAAG
This 902-nucleotide ribosomal RNA is filed under the name uncultured Lactococcus sp. Its description in RNAcentral is "bacterial SSU rRNA". It matches the Rfam family "Bacterial small subunit ribosomal RNA", at positions 1 to 892 of the family's 1533-position model. The record is from RNAcentral. Lineage: Bacteria; Bacillati; Bacillota; Bacilli; Lactobacillales; Streptococcaceae.